GAUGAAGACGCAGCGAAAUGCGAUACGUAAUGUGAAUUGCAGAAUUCAGUGAAUCAUCGAGUCUUUGAACGCACAUUGCGCCCCCUGGUAUUCCGGGGGGCAUGCCUGUCCGAGCGUCAUUGCUGCCCUCAAGCACGGCUUGUGUGUUGGGCCUCCGUCCUCCUCCCGGGGGACGGGCCCGAAAGGCAGCGGCGGCACCGCGUCCGGUCCUCGAGCGUAUGGAGCUUCGUCACCCGCUCUUGUAGGCCCGGCCGGCGCUUGCCGACACAUCAAUCUUUUUUCCAGGUUGACCUCGGAUCAGGUAGGGAUACCCGCUGAACUUAAGCAUAUCAAUAAGCGGAGGA
This 344-nucleotide unclassified non-coding RNA is filed under the name soil metagenome. RNAcentral describes it as "partial contains 5.8S ribosomal RNA, internal transcribed spacer 2, and large subunit ribosomal RNA". The stretch from base 1 to 119 matches the Rfam family "5.8S ribosomal RNA", at positions 35 to 154 of the family's 154-position model. The record is from RNAcentral.